This 61-nucleotide non-coding RNA is filed under the name Helianthus annuus (common sunflower). Its description in RNAcentral is "sRNA HanXRQr2_Chr13g0592571". It matches the Rfam family "Histone 3' UTR stem-loop". Rfam says of the family: The mRNAs of metazoan histone genes lack a poly-A tail. 3' end processing occurs at a site between a highly conserved stem-loop (modelled by this family) and a purine rich region around 20 nts downstream (the histone downstream element, or HDE). The record is from RNAcentral. Lineage: Eukaryota; Viridiplantae; Streptophyta; Magnoliopsida; Asterales; Asteraceae.
ACACCGGAUUUUCUAACCGUCAUAUCGACAAAAUCCACCAAGAUUUUACACAAAUGUUUGU